UCCGCGGUAGCUCAACGGUAGAGCGACUGGCUGUUAACCAGUGGGUUGCAGGUCCGAAUCCUGCCCGCGGAG
Molecule: transfer RNA, 72 nt
Filed under: Parcubacteria group bacterium
Lineage: Bacteria
Description: tRNA-Asn
Rfam family: tRNA
About the family: Transfer RNA (tRNA) molecules are approximately 80 nucleotides in length. Their secondary structure includes four short double-helical elements and three loops (D, anti-codon, and T loops).
Source: RNAcentral